AGCGAACGCUGGCGGCAGGCCUAACACAUGCAAUUCGAACGAACUCUUCGGAGUUAGUGGCGGACGGGUGAGUAACACGUGGGAACGUGCCUUUAGGUUCGGAAUAACUCAGGGAAACUUGUGCUAAUACCGAAUGUGCCCUUCGGGGGAAAGAUUUAUCGCCUUUAGAGCGGCCCGCGUCUGAUUAGCUAGUUGGUGAGGUAAAGGCUCACCAAGGCGACGAUCAGUAGCUGGUCUGAGAGGAUGAUCAGCCACAUUGGGACUGAGACACGGCCCAAACUCCUACGGGAGGCAGCAGUGGGGAAUCUUGCGCAAUGGGCGAAAGCCUGACGCAGCCAUGCCGCGUGAAUGAUGAAGGUCUUAGGAUUGUAAAAUUCUUUCACCGGGGACGAUAAUGACGGUACCCGGAGAAGAAGCCCCGGCUAACUUCGUG
RNAcentral lists this ribosomal RNA (433 nucleotides) under uncultured bacterium. Its description in RNAcentral is "partial 16S ribosomal RNA". It matches the Rfam family "Bacterial small subunit ribosomal RNA", at positions 29 to 507 of the family's 1533-position model. The record is from RNAcentral.